CACGUAGGGCGCGAGCGUUGUCCGGAAUUAUUGGGCGUAAAGAGCUCGUAGGCGGCCUGUUGCGUCCGCUGUGAAAGCCCGGGGCUUAACCCCGGGUCGGCAGUGGAUACGGGCAGGCUAGAGGUAGGUAGGGGAGAAUGGAAUUCCCGGUGUAGCGGUGAAAUGCGCAGAUAUCGGGAGGAACACCGGUGGCGAAGGCGGUUCUCUGGGCAUGUCCUGACGCUGAGGAGCGAAAGUGUGGGGAGCGAACAGG
Molecule: ribosomal RNA, 253 nt
Filed under: uncultured bacterium
Lineage: Bacteria
Description: partial 16S ribosomal RNA
Rfam family: Bacterial small subunit ribosomal RNA
Source: RNAcentral